RNAcentral lists this ribosomal RNA (229 nucleotides) under uncultured bacterium. RNAcentral describes it as "partial 16S ribosomal RNA". It matches the Rfam family "Bacterial small subunit ribosomal RNA", at positions 526 to 755 of the family's 1533-position model. The record is from RNAcentral.
CACGGGGGACGAGCGUUGUUCGGAUUACUGGCGUAAAGGGUGCGUAGGCGGGCCGGUUAGUCGGGUGUGAAAUUACCAAGGCUUAACCUUGGAUCUGCAUUCGAAACUGCCGAUCUUGAGUACGGGAGAGGGUAGUGGAAUUCCUGGUGUAGCGGUGAAAUGCGUAGAUAUCAGGAGGAACACCGUUGGCGAAGGCGGCUACCUGGACCGAUACUGACGCUGAGGCACG